UGCGUAGGCGGGAUUUUAAGUCAGUGGUGAAAGUUUGCAGCUUAACUGUAAAAUUGCCAUUGAAACUGAAGUUCUUGAGUACAAAUGAGGUAGGCGGAAUGUGUUGUGUAGCGGUGAAAUGCUUAGAUAUAACACAGAACACCGAUUGCGAAGGCAGCUUACUGGCAUGUAACUGACGCUGAGGCACGAAAGCGUGGGGAUCAAACAGGAUUAGAUACCCUGGUAGUC
Molecule: ribosomal RNA, 228 nt
Filed under: uncultured bacterium
Lineage: Bacteria
Description: partial 16S ribosomal RNA
Rfam family: Bacterial small subunit ribosomal RNA
Source: RNAcentral